CCUACGGGAGGCAGCAGUGGGGAAUAUUGCACAAUGGGGGAAACCCUGAUGCAGCGACGCCGCGUGUGGGAAGACGGUCCUCUGGAUUGUAAACCACUGUCCCCAGGGACGAAGAUGACGGUACCUGGGGAGUAAGCUCCGGCUAACUACGUGCCAGCAGCCGCGGUACUACGUAGGGAGCGAGCGUUGUCCGGAAUUACUGGGUGUAAAGGGAGCGUAGGCGGGACAGCAAGUUGGGGGUCAAAUCUACCGGCUCAACCGGGAGCCGCACUUAAAACUGCAGUUCUUGAGUGAAGUAGAGGCAGGCGGAAUGCCUAGUGUAGCGGUGAAAUGCGUAGAUAUUAGGAGGAACACCAGUGGCGAAGGCGGCCUGCCGGGCUUUUACUGACGCUGAGGCUCGAAAGUGUGGGGAGCAAACAGGAUUAGAUACCCGAGUAGUC
This 440-nucleotide ribosomal RNA is filed under the name uncultured bacterium. Its description in RNAcentral is "partial 16S ribosomal RNA". It matches the Rfam family "Bacterial small subunit ribosomal RNA", at positions 338 to 795 of the family's 1533-position model. The record is from RNAcentral.